Molecule: ribosomal RNA, 429 nt
Filed under: Acidobacteriota bacterium
Lineage: Bacteria; Pseudomonadati; Acidobacteriota
Description: Acidobacteria bacterium partial 16S ribosomal RNA
Rfam family: Bacterial small subunit ribosomal RNA
Source: RNAcentral
UGGGGAAUUUUGGACAAUGGGGGAAACCCUGAUCCAGCCAUCCCGCGUGUGCGAUGAAGGCCUUCGGGUUGUAAAGCACUUUUGGCAGGAAAGAAACGUCAUGGGUUAAUACCCCAUGAAACUGACGGUACCUGCAGAAUAAGCACCGGCUAACUACGUGCCAGCAGCCGCGGUAAUACGUAGGGUGCAAGCGUUAAUCGGAAUUACUGGGCGUAAAGCGUGCGCAGGCGGUUCGGAAAGAAAGAUGUGAAAUCCCAGAGCUCAACUUUGGAACUGCAUUUUUAACUACCGGGCUAGAGUGUGUCAGAGGGAGGUGGAAUUCCGCGUGUAGCAGUGAAAUGCGUAGAUAUGCGGAGGAACACCGAUGGCGAAGGCAGCCUCCUGGGAUAACACUGACGCUCAUGCACGAAAGCGUGGGGAGCAAACAGG